GGCCGCGGGAAUUCGAUUCAGGCCUAACACAUGCAAGUCGAGCGGUAGAGAGAAGCUUGCUUCUCUUGAGAGCGGCGGACGGGUGAGUAAUGCCUAGGAAUCUGCCUGGUAGUGGGGGAUAACGUUCGGAAACGGACGCUAAUACCGCAUACGUCCUACGGGAGAAAGCAGGGGACCUUCGGGCCUUGCGCUAUCAGAUGAGCCUAGGUCGGAUUAGCUAGUUGGUGAGGUAAUGGCUCACCAAGGCUACGAUCCGUAACUGGUCUGAGAGGAUGAUCAGUCACACUGGAACUGAGACACGGUCCAGACUCCUACGGGAGGCAGCAGUGGGGAAUAUUGGACAAUGGGCGAAAGCCUGAUCCAGACGAUGCCGCGUGUGUGAAGAAGGUCUUCGGAUUGUAAAGAAAUGGAAGUUGGGAGGAAGGGCAUUAACCUAAUACGUUAGUGUUUGACGUACCGACA
RNAcentral lists this ribosomal RNA (462 nucleotides) under uncultured bacterium. RNAcentral's name for it is "bacterial SSU rRNA". It matches the Rfam family "Bacterial small subunit ribosomal RNA", at positions 39 to 483 of the family's 1533-position model. The record is from RNAcentral.